AUUGAACGCUGGCGGCAGGCCUAACACAUGCAAGUCGAGCGGAUGAAGGGAGAGUUCUCCUGUCUUCAGUGACCGACGGGCGGGUAAUGCCUACGAAGCUGCCUGGCAGAGGGGGAUAACGUCCGGUCAGGGGAGCUAAUCUAGCAUCCGUUAUGAUUGUGAACGUGGUGGUUCUUCGGUCCUCGAGCUUUUUGAUGAGCCUAGGUCGGAUUAGCUAGUUGGUUGGGUAAAGGCCUACCAAGGCGACUAUCCGUAACUGGUCUGAGAGGAUGAUCAGUCACACUGGAACUGAGACACGGUCCAGACUCCUACGGGAGGCAGCAGUGGGGAAUAUUGGACAAUGGGCGAAAGCCUGAUCCAGCAAUGCCGCGUGUGUGAAGAAGGUCUUCGGAUUGUAAAGCACUGUUAGUUGGGAGGAAGGGCAGUAAGAUAAUACCUUGCUGUUUUGACGUUACCAACAGAAUAAGCACCGGCUAACUACGUG
RNAcentral lists this ribosomal RNA (484 nucleotides) under uncultured bacterium. RNAcentral's name for it is "partial 16S ribosomal RNA". It matches the Rfam family "Bacterial small subunit ribosomal RNA", at positions 30 to 507 of the family's 1533-position model. The record is from RNAcentral.